AUGAACAACAUCACCACCAGAGACAUCAAAACUGAUGCUAUACUGCUGGACACCGGGAACCUGGUCAUCAGGUUGCCAAAUGGCGAAGAUAUAUGGCAGAGCUUCCAUCACCCAACCAACACCAUCCUCCCAAAUAUGAGUUUACCACUGAGCAACAACACCAACCUCUCCAUGCACCUGGUCGCCUGGAGGGGCCCUGAUGACCCAUCCACAAGUGACUACUCCUUGGGUGGGGACUUGAGCCUCCAGCUCAUCGUCUGGAAUAGGACGACGCCAUACUGGCGAAGAGCUGCGUUGGAUGGUGUAUUGGUCUUUGGCACGUAUGAGAGAAAAUCAGGUCCAUAG
RNAcentral lists this ribosomal RNA (345 nucleotides) under Triticum aestivum (bread wheat). RNAcentral's name for it is "partial small subunit ribosomal RNA". Lineage: Eukaryota; Viridiplantae; Streptophyta; Magnoliopsida; Poales; Poaceae. The record is from RNAcentral.